CAGGGCCUGAGGUCCCAUUUUCCCACUCUCAUAUAGGCAUUGUCUCAUCUUUUUGAAUUGAUGGGGUUGUCUUGGUAGGCCAGAGCAAAUCACGUGAUUAUCAUUGAGAAUGACAUCCAUUCUGAAGAUACCUUUCAGGAUGACUUCAGGACUAGAAAUAGUAUCUGGCUUGUUUCUAGUACAUCUUACCUAAAGUUUCAUGUAUGAAUGGGAGAACGAAAGCCUCAGAUUGUCAACUAACUCUACCAAGUCUUACAAUAGUUCAGUGUUCAUCCAAAAAUCAAAUCCAUAAUUCCAGAUCAUUUCUUCAAUUCCUUCAACUCUUCUUUGAAGCUGAGACCCAGACUCUCGUCUGAUUUUCUAAGCCAGGCAAGACUGAUCAAGAAUCCUACAAGAAGAAAGUUUUCAGAAUCCUGACCUCACUCCAGCAGGUCCAGAACGUUGCUGGUGACAAUGUUCUGGAAGACACCUCAGCAUGAAUCUCUGGAGCCAGCAUCUGGUACCACUGCCAUCUAUGGGGUGAAUACUGCAAUUAAGAGCCUGACCCUCUAUGGUGAAUAAAAAGGUUGUGAAAUUAUAUG
This 581-nucleotide long non-coding RNA is filed under the name Homo sapiens (human). Its description in RNAcentral is "HSALNT0322574". The record is from RNAcentral. Lineage: Eukaryota; Metazoa; Chordata; Mammalia; Primates; Hominidae.